This 492-nucleotide ribosomal RNA is filed under the name uncultured bacterium. Its description in RNAcentral is "partial 16S ribosomal RNA". It matches the Rfam family "Bacterial small subunit ribosomal RNA", at positions 29 to 507 of the family's 1533-position model. The record is from RNAcentral.
AGUGAACGCUGGCGGUAGGCCUAACACAUGCAAGUCGAACGGCAGCACAGUAAGAGCUUGCUCUUACGGGUGGCGAGUGGCGGACGGGUGAGGAAUACAUCGGAAUAUACUUUUUCGUGGGGGAUAACGUAGGGAAACUUACGCUAAUACAGCAUACGACCUACGUGUGAAAGCCCGGGAUCUUCUGACCUUUCGCGAUUGAAUGAGCCGAUGUUUGAUUAGCUAGUUGGCGGGGCAAAGGCCCACCAAGGCGACGAUCCGUAGCUGGUAUGAGAGGAUGAGCAGCUACAUUGGAAGAGAGAAACGGCCGAGACUCUGACAGGGGGAAGCAGUGGGGAAUAUUGCGCGAGGGGGCAGAGGGUGAUACAGCAAAAUCGCGUGGAGGCAGAAGGAGCUCGGGCGGGAAAGUGAUGAUGGUGGUAAAGAAGAAAAGCACGUUAAUCCGCGGUGGUAAUGACGGUACCGAAAGAAUAAGCACCGGCUAACUCCGUG